Molecule: unclassified non-coding RNA, 148 nt
Organism: Callithrix jacchus (white-tufted-ear marmoset)
Lineage: Eukaryota; Metazoa; Chordata; Mammalia; Primates; Cebidae
Rfam family: Metazoan signal recognition particle RNA
About the family: The signal recognition particle (SRP) is a universally conserved ribonucleoprotein. It is involved in the co-translational targeting of proteins to membranes. The eukaryotic SRP consists of a 300-nucleotide 7S RNA and six proteins: SRPs 72, 68, 54, 19, 14, and 9.
Source: Ensembl
GCUGGGUGUGGUGGCGCACACCUGUAAUCCCAGCUACUCCGGAGGCUGAGGCGGGAGAAUCGCUUGAACCGGGGAGGCGCAGGUUGCAGUGAGCCGAGAUCGCGCCACUGCACUCCAGCCUGGGUGACAGAGGGAGACCCUGUCUCAA